UAUGAAGCUUUUCUGUAGAUGGAAUUGAGUUUGGGUUUAUUUUGCGCACUAUAGGUGGGAGGCUAAGAAGAUAUAUCUGCGGAGAUAUUAGAGCCGCUAGUGAGAUACCCCUCUUGAUAAAGUAGAAUUUUAAAUUUGAAUGCCAUUAUCUGGCCAAAAAACAGUUCCAGGUGGGCAGUUUGACUGGGGCGGUCGCCUCCUAAAGAGUAACGGAGGCGCGCAAAGGUUCCCUCAGGCUGGUCGGAAAUCAGUCGUAGAGUAUAAAGGCAUAAGGAAGCUUGACUGCAAGACCUACAAGUCGAGCAGAGACGAAACUCGGCCUUAGUGAUCCGACAGU
This 337-nucleotide ribosomal RNA is filed under the name Porolithon onkodes. RNAcentral describes it as "bacterial LSU rRNA". It matches the Rfam family "Bacterial large subunit ribosomal RNA", at positions 2094 to 2427 of the family's 2925-position model. Lineage: Eukaryota; Rhodophyta; Florideophyceae; Corallinales; Porolithaceae. The record is from RNAcentral.